GAUCAUGGCUCAGAUUGAACGCUGGCGGCGUGCUUAACACAUGCAAGUCGCGCGUGAAAGGACUUCGGUCCGAGUAAAGCGGCGCACGGGUGAGUAACGCGUGGAUGAUCUACCCAUGAGUUAGGAAUAACGGCUGGAAACGGUCGCUAAUACCAAAUACGCUCCGAUUUCAACUUCGGGGGAAAGGUGGCCUCUGCUUGCAAGCUACUGCUCAUGGAUGAGUCCGCGUCCCAUUAGCUAGUUGGUGGGGUAACGGCCCACCAAGGCGACGAUGGGUAGCCGGUCUGAGAGGAUGACCGGCCACACUGGGACUGGAACACGGCCCAGACUCCUACGGGAGGCAGCAGUGGGGAAUAUUGCGCAAUGGGCGAAAGCCUGACGCAGCGACGCCGCGUGAGGGGAAUGAAGGUCCUCGGAUCGUAAACCUCUGUCAGGGGGGAAGAACCGCCACGGUGCUAAUCAGCCGUGGUCUGACGGUACCUCCAAAGGAAGCACCGGCUAACUCCGUGCCAGCCGCAGC
RNAcentral lists this ribosomal RNA (520 nucleotides) under uncultured bacterium. Its description in RNAcentral is "bacterial SSU rRNA". It matches the Rfam family "Bacterial small subunit ribosomal RNA", at positions 15 to 518 of the family's 1533-position model. The record is from RNAcentral.